RNAcentral lists this ribosomal RNA (531 nucleotides) under uncultured bacterium. Its description in RNAcentral is "bacterial SSU rRNA". It matches the Rfam family "Bacterial small subunit ribosomal RNA", at positions 777 to 1307 of the family's 1533-position model. The record is from RNAcentral.
AAUAGAUACCCGGUAGUCCACGCCGUAAACGAUGAGUGCUAAGUGUUAGAGGGUUUCCGCCCUUUAGUGCUGCAGCUAACGCAUUAAGCACUCCGCCUGGGGAGUACGGCCGCAAGGCUGAAACUCAAAGGAAUUGACGGGGGCCCGCACAAGCGGUGGAGCAUGUGGUUUAAUUCGAAGCAACGCGAAGAACCUUACCAGGUCUUGACAUCCUCUGCCAACCCUAGAGAUAGGGUGUUCCCCUUCGGGGGACAGAGUGACAGGUGGUGCAUGGUUGUCGUCAGCUCGUGUCGUGAGAUGUUGGGUUAAGUCCCGCAACGAGCGCAACCCUUGAUCUUAGUUGCCAGCAUUUAGUUGGGCACUCUAAGGUGACUGCCGGUGACAAACCGGAGGAAGGUGGGGAUGACGUCAAAUCAUCAUGCCCCUUAUGACCUGGGCUACACACGUGCUACAAUGGAUGGUACAAAGAGCUGCGAACCCGCGAGGGUAAGCCAAUCUCAUAAAGCCAUUCUCAGUUCGGAUUGUAGGCUG